RNAcentral lists this long non-coding RNA (1036 nucleotides) under Sus scrofa (pig). RNAcentral's name for it is "lncRNA (ENSSSCG00035049561.1)". The record is from RNAcentral. Lineage: Eukaryota; Metazoa; Chordata; Mammalia; Artiodactyla; Suidae.
UCAGUCCAUGUCGCUUCGCAUUCACUUCCGGGGUGAAACAAACAAAAACGAAAGGCUACCACUGUAGGGCAGGCGAACAAGCAACUGUCGACCAAACCUGCGUGCACACACACUCACACACACACACACACACACACACACACACACGUUCCUCUCUUUUUCCAAAAAGCCCUCACGGUAAAUAGCCAGGCAGACAAAAGCCUGGGUUUCCGUAUUGCUUUUGUAUGCAGUGGCAGGAAGCAGUUGUCAGCUGCAUCAGUGAAAAAUAACAACGGCAAACACUCAGACACCCAGACACAUGCCACAAUGUUCCCGUGGAAAUCAAACUCUGAGAAAUUUUUAAAAUGUUUUCAACACAUCAGCAUGAAGCAUCGACCUAGUUGGAAUCACUUAGAUCUAAAGCAAAUGCACUGAUUGUUUUCACAGCAGGCUUUUCUUCUUGGAGCUGAAACAGGCGCACUGGCGAGGCUGGCAAGGAACGGUUUUCCAGCCCCCUGCCUUGGUCGGCUAUAGCCUGUGACACGAUCAAUACCGGGGCGAGCGGCGGAGGAAGCUCAGGGAAGAUUAUGAAGAUGAGAGAGGAGUUUUAAGCCUCAGUGUGGUUAAUCAUCUCCAUCACCCUUGUCAUCUGCAUCACCCUCGUCAUCCCAUCACCCUCGUCAACUCCAUCACCCUCAUCUCCAUCACCCUCGUCAUCUGCAUCACCCUCGUCAUCUCCAUCACCCUCGUCAACUCCAUCACCCUCGUCAACUCCAUCACCCUCGUCAACUCCAUCCCCCUCGUCAACUCCAUCACCCUCGUCAUCUGCAUCACCCUCGUCAUCUGCAUCACCCUCAACUCCAUCACCCUCAACUCCAUCACCCUCGUCAACUCCAUCACCCUCAUCAUCUGCAUCACCACUAUCUGCAUCACCAUCAUCAUCAUGUCUCCCAACCCAUCACCCAUUCUCCACAACCUUCAAGUCUUAGCUUAAACAUGGCCUUCUUGCAUUUCCCCAUCUAAAUUCGGAUGCCCACAUUCAAUCAUAAUUCACCAU